Molecule: ribosomal RNA, 394 nt
Filed under: Boana calcarata
Lineage: Eukaryota; Metazoa; Chordata; Amphibia; Anura; Hylidae
Description: partial 16S ribosomal RNA
Rfam family: Bacterial large subunit ribosomal RNA
Source: RNAcentral
AAGAGGUCCAGCCUGCCCAGUGACCCAGUUCAACGGCCGCGGUAUCCUAACCGUGCGAAGGUAGCGUAAUCACUUGUUCUUUAAAUGGGGACUAGUAUGAAUGGCAUCACGAGGGUUGAACUGUCUCCUUUCUCUAAUCAGUGAAACUAAUCUCCCCGUGAAGAAGCGGGAAUCAUUUUAUAAGACGAGAAGACCCUAUGGAGCUUAAAACAAAUUGACACAUGCUUCCACCUACUUCAAUUCCUGAAUAAAUAUACAAAAUAUAGCAUCAUUGAUUAAUAGUUUUAGAUUGGGGUGAUCAUGGAGCAAAAAACAACCUCCACGACGAAAAGGAAUAUUCCCUGAGCCAAAAGCCACAACUUUAAGCACUAAAAAAUUAACGCAUCUUGACCCA